Molecule: ribosomal RNA, 252 nt
Rfam family: Bacterial small subunit ribosomal RNA
UACGUAGGUGGCAAGCGUUGUCCGGAAUUAUUGGGCGUAAAGUGCGCGCAGGCGGGAUAUCAAGUCUGUCUUAAAAGUGCGAGGCUCAACCUCGUGAGGGGACAGAAACUGGUAUUCUUGAGUGUCGGAGAGGAAAGUGGAAUUCCAAGUGUAGCGGUGAAAUGCGUAGAGAUUUGGAAGAACACCAGUGGCGAAGGCGACUUUCUGGACGAUGUCUGACGCUGAGGCGCGAAAGCUAGGGGAGCGAACGGG